Molecule: ribosomal RNA, 495 nt
Filed under: uncultured bacterium
Lineage: Bacteria
Description: partial 16S ribosomal RNA
Rfam family: Bacterial small subunit ribosomal RNA
Source: RNAcentral
GAUGAACGCUGGCGGCGUGCUUAACACAUGCAAGUCGAGCGAAGCGAUUUUAAGGAAGCUUUCGGGUGGAAUUAAAAUUGACUGAGCGGCGGACGGGUGAGUAACGCGUGGGUAACCUGCCUCAUACAGGGGGAUAACAGUUAGAAAUGACUGCUAAUACCGCAUAAGCGCACAGUGCUGCAUAGCACAGUGUGAAAAACUCCGGUGGUAUGAGAUGGACCCGCGUCUGAUUAGGUAGGUGGUAGGGUAACGGCCUACCAAGCCGACGAUCAGUAGCCGACCUGAGAGGGUGACCGGCCACAUUGGGACUGAGACACGGCCCAAACUCCUACGGGGGGCAGCAGUGGGGAAUAUUGGACAAUGGGGGAAACCCUGAUCCAGCGACGCCGCGUGAGUGAAGAAGUAUUUCGGUAUGUAAAGCUCUAUCAGCAGGGAAGAAAAUGACGGUACCUGACUAAGAAGCCCCGGCUAACUACGUGCCAGCAGCCGCCGUAA